GGGGAAUAUUGGACAAUGGGGGCAACCCUGAUCCAGCCAUGCCGCGUGUGUGAAGAAGGUCUUCGGAUUGUAAAGCACUUUAAGUUGGGAGGAAGGGCUUGCGGUUAAUACCUGCAAGUUUUGACGUUACCGACAGAAUAAGCACCGGCUAACUCUGUGCCAGCAGCCGCGGUAAUACAGAGGGUGCAAGCGUUAAUCGGAAUUACUGGGCGUAAAGCGCGCGUAGGUGGUUCAGUAAGAUGGAAGUGAAAUCCCCGGGCUUAACCUGGGAACUGCUUUCAUAACUGCUGGGCUAGAGUACGGUAGAGGGUAGUGGAAUUUCCUGUGUAGCGGUGAAAUGCGUAGAUAUAGGAAGGAACACCAGUGGCGAAGGCGACUACCUGGACUGGUACUGACACUGAGGUGCGAAAGCGUGGGGAGCAAAC
This 425-nucleotide ribosomal RNA is filed under the name uncultured bacterium. Its description in RNAcentral is "bacterial SSU rRNA". It matches the Rfam family "Bacterial small subunit ribosomal RNA", at positions 356 to 773 of the family's 1533-position model. The record is from RNAcentral.